This 460-nucleotide ribosomal RNA is filed under the name uncultured bacterium. Its description in RNAcentral is "partial 16S ribosomal RNA". It matches the Rfam family "Bacterial small subunit ribosomal RNA", at positions 338 to 795 of the family's 1533-position model. The record is from RNAcentral.
CCUACGGGUGGCAGCAGUGAGGAAUAUUGGUCAAUGGACGAGAGUCUGAACCAGCCAAGUAGCGUGAAGGAUGACUGCCCUAUGGGUUGUAAACUUCUUUUAUAUGGGAAUAAACUGUUCCACGUGUGGGAUUUUGUAUGUACCAUAUGAAUAAGGAUCGGCUAACUCCGUGCCAGCAGCCGCGGUAAUACGGAGGAUCCGAGCGUUAUCCGGAUUUAUUGGGUUUAAAGGGAGCGUAGGUGGAUUGUUAAGUCAGUUGUGAAAGUUUGGGGCUCAACCGUAAAAUUGCAGUUGAAACUGGCAGUCUUGAGUACAGUAGAGGUGGGCGGAAUUCGUGGUGUAGCGGUGAAAUGCUUAGAUAUCACGAAGAACUCCGAUUGCGAAGGCAGUUCACUGGACUGCAACUGACACUGAGGCUCGAAAGUGUGGGUAUCAAACAGGAUUAGAUACCCCUGUAGUC